AGUGGUAGUGGGGAGAGCGGAACCGAGAUCAGAUAGAUUGAGGCUGUCUUCUUGCUUGUCGUUGCUCAUCGUCACCUCCGCCGAGAUGUGAGAAAGAGUAAAACCCUAGAGAGAGACAGAAGGAUUGGGGAGCGAGGGGAAAGGGUGAAUAGGAAUUAGGAAGGACUGGAGUUAUCAUAGCCGGGAACCCAGACGCCAUGGUUUUGCAAAGAUCACGGACCAAGGGAUGAUCCAGAUCCUUGGAGGAGAUCUAGAGUUAGGGUUUCAUACCUCUUAGUCUUCGGAUUCGGCCGUAGAGAAGCUCGUAGAGGAGGAUGCGGUGCUGCCAUGGG
RNAcentral lists this long non-coding RNA (332 nucleotides) under Phoenix dactylifera (date palm). Its description in RNAcentral is "long non-coding RNA (PDAC_LNC021987)". The record is from RNAcentral. Lineage: Eukaryota; Viridiplantae; Streptophyta; Magnoliopsida; Arecales; Arecaceae.